UGUUAGUGAACAUCCUAAAAUGCACAGGACAGUCACCCACAAAAAAGUGCCAGUAACUCCAGGUUGAGAAGUCCUACCUUAGAGAGAAAGGAUGUAGUUAAGAGGAGUGAACAACAUUGAGUUUGGGAUAUUUGGUGUUGAGUUAAAGGGAUUGACAUGUUUCCCACCACAAUUGAGAGAGGAGUCCUGAGAAUUCUUCUAAAUGCCUUAGUUAUUAAGGACUAGGACUUUUCUCCAGUUUUUUAUGGAUAUAGUCUUCUCCAGAAAUUGUCAGAGCCAGUGUCUUCCUGCACCUCAGACAAUUAUCUCUGACUCUUGUCAGUACUAAUAACACACAUAUUGAGCGAUUUUCCACGGAAUGAGAGGGGAGGCUAUUGCUUAGGAAUGACUGUUCUCUCUACUUCUGCUAAAGGGGUCUAAUCCUGAUUUCCUGAGGAAGUAGGGUAAAACAGAAUUUCCAAGCAGUGCCCAAUAGGAGGAAAAAGAAUCUGCUGCUGGGACUAUCUCAAAGAUAUAAACUUAUAGGCCAAUUCCUAUGACCAAUUCAUUUCCCAGCUUGAAGUCACUUGUCAUUUGUGUGUUUGUAGGAUCUGUCUCUACCAUGACACUGGGUGAUUGUGGAGGCUAGUUACUAGAAAAGCGGUGAUGGUAUUAGGAAGCAGAUUCAGAAAUGACAAUGUUCAAGCAGAAGCUGGGUGACCAUCUCUAAGCCUGGAUGCCAUAGGAUGAAUGUCCCUAUUGAUCUCCUAGUCACCUUCCAACCACAAAUACUGACUUUAAUCCUUUCAAAGUAAUACAUGAAAUGACAAAAAAUGUCAGAUUGACUUUCUAAAUGAGGUGAGGGGAAGGUGAGUGCAAACGGUUUCUUAAAAGUUUUAUUUCUCUUGACACAUAUUCUGUUUUACCCAUCUGUAAUGCAGGGUAGGCGGUUCCAAUGCACAUUUUAUGAAUUUGAACUUGAAUUGACUCUACUUUUAAAAUAAUAAUGGUAAUGUGUUAAAAGGGUGACAAGAACUCCAGUGGCAAAGUUGAAAGUCUGUGCAUUGACAGCCAAUUAAUAUAAAUAGUAAUUACCAUAACCAAUCCACAUUUGAGAUUGGCUUUUAUUUGGCUAAAUAUGCACUGAGUGCAUUAAAAGGUAAGAGUUAUUCUAUAAUGUGGUGAAUUGCAGUGUUACCUACAGACCAGGACCACUUUGAAAAGCAAAGGCUUUCCUGAGAGGCAGAAGAAAAUACCAGAGCCUCACCUUUGAAUGUGGUCUUUCCAGUGGAGACUCAUUUAUCUUCCAGCAUACACACAAACUUGUGUGUAUUUCCUAUGUUAAAUCUUCC
This 1331-nucleotide long non-coding RNA is filed under the name Marmota monax (woodchuck). Lineage: Eukaryota; Metazoa; Chordata; Mammalia; Rodentia; Sciuridae. The record is from RNAcentral.